RNAcentral lists this ribosomal RNA (1452 nucleotides) under Triticum aestivum (bread wheat). RNAcentral describes it as "partial small subunit ribosomal RNA". The record is from RNAcentral. Lineage: Eukaryota; Viridiplantae; Streptophyta; Magnoliopsida; Poales; Poaceae.
AUGGCGGAGCAGGGGAAGAAGUCGGGGGAGCAGGACAAGAAGAGACCGCGGUUCUCCGAGAAGGCCGAGGGCAGCGGCGCCAAGAAGUCCAGCGCCGUGGCGGUGACCACAGUGUCACCGGCGGAGCUCGCGGUGCCGAGUCCGGUGGCCCCGAGGAGGGCGGCGCUGUCCUCGCCCAGCCCCGUUGCAAAGGCGCAGCCGGUCACCAGUCCUCUCGCCUUCAAGCCACCGGCGCUGCCGGUGCCGAGUCCGGUGGCCACGAAGACGCGGACACUGGCCGAGCUCAAUCCCGUUCCCAUCCCGAAGUCAGCCGCCACAGUGGCGGUGACCAGUCCGGUGGCCGCCACGCCACCGGCGCCCAGUCCAGCGGCAACGAGGGUGCUCGCGGCACAGAGUCCGGCGGCCACGAAGACGCCGACGCCCAGUCCAGUGGCGACGGUGGCAGUGACCAGUCCGGUGACCGCCAUGCCAUCGGCGCCCAGUCCAGCGGCAACGAGGGCGCUCGAGGCACAGAGUCCGGUGGCCACGAAGACGCCGACACCCAGUCCAGUGGCCACUGCGAAGCCGGCUGCCGUGGUGAAGCGGGAUGAAGAAGGCGCGGAACACAAUGGUGGCGCAAUGCUGGCCCUGGCGGCGGAAGAGGAGGAGCCUGCCAAUUUGGACUUGCCCAAGAAAUUGUUUCACUGCGCGGCCUGUCGUGCCCCCCUCAAGCCUCCGGUGUUCAAGUGCGAAAAGGAGCAUUUCGUGUGCUGCGCUUGCGGCGGCGGCGGAGACGGCAGAGCGAACAGGCACUGCGGUCCAUGCGGGCAUGACGUCUCCUACACCCACUCCGAGUUCAUGGACGGCGUGGUCGGCGCCUACAAGGUGCCGUGCCCGUACAAGCAGCACGGCUGCGCGAGCUCCAUCGUGUACCACGCGGCGGCGGACCACAAGGCCAAGUGCGCGCACGCGCCCUGCUACUGCUUCGAGUGCAUGCCCCCGUUCGAGGGCUCGCCAGCGGAACUCCUGCGACACCUCACGGCGCCGUCCGGCAAACACUCCUGGCUCACGGACAAGAUCAAAUACGAGUCUAGCCACCCGCUCGUCGUGCAGGCGCCGUCGGGGGAUUACCGCUGCCUGCUGCUCGCGGAGGACGGCAGCGUGUUCCUCCUGGCCGUGGGCGCCGGCAGGGGCCCGGCUGGGCGCCGCCCCGUCAACGUCGUGUGCGUCAGGGGCAACGCCGACGCCGACUCGAGGCCGCUGUACACGGGCGUGCUCUGGGUGGAUGGUCCUCCGGCCACCGCGGGCCAUCUUAGGGGCAGCGUCCAGGUGAAAGGGGACGUGGCGAGCUGCUCCGUCCCGGGCGAGGUGGACAUGGAACAGGGCUGGCUCCAUGCGCAUGUCAACCCCAACAUGCUGCACGGAGAGUCCGGCGAGGUUCAUCUGCGCCUCCGUAUAACCAGAUUCCCAUGA